AUCCCUCAGUUUAUGGGUAUGAUAAUUAAGUAUUCAUGACAAAUGCAUGAGAUGUGCCUCCUUCAAAAAUUUUUGGCACAUUGCUUAUCUGACA
Heterocephalus glaber (naked mole-rat) is the source of this 94-nucleotide small nucleolar RNA. NCBI's taxonomy places the organism in Eukaryota, Metazoa, Chordata, Mammalia, Rodentia, Bathyergidae. The record is from Ensembl.